AGUUUAUUUAUAGCUAAAAGUUCAGCCAUAAGUUUUUUGUGGUCUUGUUUAGAUUUCAUUAAAUUUUCUAUAUAUUUUCUUAUAAGCAUUUUUAUAAGUUCAUGUUCAGCCAUAAGUUAUUGUGUGGUCUUGUAUGAUCUUGUGUGGUCUUGUUCAGCCAUAAGUUCAUGUUCUAUAUGCUUUUUUAUAAGCAUUUUCUUCUACAUGCUUUAAAACAUGUCAGACUAAAAUAUAUUUCAUAUGUACUAGUAACAUUCUGAUUCGGUACACUUUUGGAUGUCACCGGAUAUUAAAUCACCAGGGGAUCCUAAGUUUAUGGAAGCAUUUGAUUGGAGACGAAGAAGAUUGUGAUGAAGAUAUGGAAGAAGCUUGUGAUCAUGAAGAUGUGGAAGAAGGUUGUCCUGAAGAUGUGGAAGAAGAACAAGGAGAUGAUCAAGAAGAAUAUUAAGAAGUUGUGUUUUAUAUUAUCUAGCUAGCUAAUUCUUAGAACUUUUGUUGUUAUUUUGGGAUGACUCUUUGAGAGAAACUUGUGUUUAAUUUAACUCUUGUUUUGAAUCCCAUGGUUGUUUUGAAUUUGGGAUGACAUCAAAACUUAGUAUCCAA
This is a long non-coding RNA of Vicia villosa (hairy vetch), 603 nucleotides long. RefSeq lists it as uncharacterized. The record is from RefSeq and is a predicted model, not a curated record. NCBI's taxonomy places the organism in Eukaryota, Viridiplantae, Streptophyta, Magnoliopsida, Fabales, Fabaceae. The transcript has 2 exons.